UUUGAUUAUGGCUACAGGACGAACCCUGGCGGCCUGCCUAAUACAUGCAAGUAGAACGCUGAAAGGAGAGCUUCGCUCUUCUGGAUGAGCUGCCAACGGGCGAGUAACGCGUAGGUAACCUGCCUGGUACCGGGGGAUAACUAUUGGAAACUAUAUCUAAUACCGGAUAACACCAUUAACUGCAUGGUUGAUGUUUAAAAGUUGGUUUUGCUAACACUAUGAGAUGGCUUUGCGGUGCAUUACCUAGUUGGUGGGGUAAAGGCCUACCAAGGCGACGAUGCAUACCCGACCUGAUACGGUGAUCGGCCACACUGGGACUGAUACACGGCCCAGACUCCUACGGGAGGCAGCACUACGGAAUCUUCCGCAUUGGGCGAAAGCCUGACUGAGCAACGCCGCGUGAGUGAAGAAGGAUUUCGGUUCGUAAACCUCUGUUGUUAUGGAAUUAAUGAUUGUGUACUAACUAUACACACUAGACACCGUACCUACCCAUAAAUCCACGGCUAACUACCUGCCACCACCCGCGGUAAUACUUAUGUGGCAAGCGUUGUCCUGAAUUAUUGGGCGUAAAGCGCGCGCAGGUGGUUUAAUAAGUCUGAUGUGAAAGCCCACGGCUCAACCGUGGAGGGUUAUUGGAAACUGUUAAACUUGAGUGCAGGAGAGAAAAGUGGAAUUCGUAGUGUAGCGGUGAAAUGCGUAGAGAUUAGGAGGAACACCAGUGGCGAAGGCGGCUUUAUGGCCUGUAACUGACACUGAGGCGCGAAAGCGUGGGGAGCAAACAGGAUUAGAUACCCUGGUAGUCCACGCAGUAAACGAUGAGUGAUAAGUGUGGGUCUCAUAAGAGAUCAGUGAUGCAGCUAACGCAUUAAGCACUCCGCAUGGGGAGUACGACCGCAAGGUUGAAACUCAAAGGAAUUGACGGGGACCCGCACAAGCGGUGGAGCAUGUGGUUUAAUUUGAAGCAACGCGAAGAACCUUACCAAGUCAUGACAUAACGUGAGGACACAAGAGAGUGUGUUGUUGUGACAUUUGGUUAGACACAGAUACAGGUGGUGCAUGGUCGUCGUCAGGUAGUGUCGUGAGAUGUUGGGUUAAGUCCCGCAACGGGCGCAACCCUUAUAUGUAGUUGCCAGCAGUAAGAUGGAGACUCUAGAUAGACUGCCAGUGAUAAAAUGGAGGAAGGUGGGGAUGACGUCAAAUCAUCAUGCCCCUUAUGACUUGGGCUACACACGUGCUACUAUGGAUAGGAACAAAGAGAAGCGAGCUCGCGUGAGUAAGCAAACCUCUACAAAACUAUUGUCAGUUUGGAUUGUAGUCUGCUACUCGAGUACAGGAAGCUGGAAUCGCUAGUAAUCGCGUAAUCAGAAAUGUGGCGGUGAAUACGUUCCCG
RNAcentral lists this ribosomal RNA (1390 nucleotides) under uncultured bacterium. RNAcentral describes it as "16S ribosomal RNA". It matches the Rfam family "Bacterial small subunit ribosomal RNA", at positions 12 to 1376 of the family's 1533-position model. The record is from RNAcentral.